UACGUAAGGUCCGAGCGUUGUCCGGAAUCAUUGGGCGUAAAGGGUACGUAGGCGGAUAAGCAAGUUAGAAGUGAAAUCCUAUAGCUCAACUAUAGUAAGCUUUUAAAACUGCUCAUCUUGAGGUAUGGAAGGGAAAGUGGAAUUCCUAGUGUAGCGGUGAAAUGCUUAGAUAUUAGGAGGAAUACCAGUGGCGAGGGCGACUUUCUGGCCAUUAUCUGACGCUGAGGUACGAAAACGUGGGUAGUAAACAGG
RNAcentral lists this ribosomal RNA (252 nucleotides) under uncultured bacterium. RNAcentral describes it as "partial 16S ribosomal RNA". It matches the Rfam family "Bacterial small subunit ribosomal RNA", at positions 524 to 776 of the family's 1533-position model. The record is from RNAcentral.